This 199-nucleotide unclassified non-coding RNA is filed under the name uncultured Gymnoascaceae. RNAcentral's name for it is "sequence contains ITS1". The record is from RNAcentral. Lineage: Eukaryota; Fungi; Ascomycota; Eurotiomycetes; Onygenales; Gymnoascaceae.
CAGCGUUCCGUCGCGGCGCGCCGGGCCCACCGCCCGUGUGCGUGCGCGCGAAACCCCACCCUUGACUACCUGACCUUCUGUUGCUUUGGCGCGCCCGCCGCAAGGCCGCCGGGGGCUCCGGCCCCGGGCCCGCGCGCGCCGGAGAUGACACUGAACUCCUUUGUGAAUUUGGCCGUCUGAGUAUGAUCUUGAAUCAUCA